Molecule: small RNA, 1137 nt
Filed under: Pan troglodytes (chimpanzee)
Lineage: Eukaryota; Metazoa; Chordata; Mammalia; Primates; Hominidae
Description: retained intron
Source: RNAcentral
AGAAACCCAGGAAAUCGAGACUCAUGACUCCCAGAGAGGAUGGCAUCUAGAAGCCCCACCCAGCCCCAGCCCCAGGAGGAGGAGCCUGUCUGGAUGGACGCAGCCUCAACUGACCCACAAACAGACCAAAAAAGUCACUCUCAAAGAGCUCUUGGUAGGUUUGUAAAUACUUAACUGAUGGUAAAAUGGCAUGAACCCCUACCCCCGAUGGAUCUGAACCGUUCACUUGACCCACUUUAAACUGACCAGACUUCUCCAAAUAAGCUCCAUCCACCCCUGGUUGGGGUACCCCACUAGCUUUGUCCUCAGGCCAACCUGCAACCCAAAGUGGGUUACACCUUGGCCCCCAGGCACACAGACCCCAGCUUUACAAGGACCCCAGCUCCUUAACACAGAUCCCAGCUCCGAGGAAACUCGUCCCCCCCACGUUUAUCCUGACCGACUUUGCCACAUGGAGCCAGCAAACCAUUUCUGGUGAGAGCCAAAUGCACCUUCUGCACCAUGUCCCCCACCCAAUGUGUCCAGAAAGCCAUUUCUGGUGAGCCAGAUGCACCUUCUGCAUCCCCUGAAUUCCUGUCCCCAACCCCAUGCGUCCAGUUCACCUCCGCCAUCUUGAGUAUCCCUCAUCACCCCAAACUGCAGUCCCUGCCUCUGUUCCCACCUCACCUCUGGUGUGCAGGCAAAGGACCAGGAUCCCCAGGAGCUUCCAGUUGAGGAUCAUGGCUAUGUACUGGCCCCCAAAGCUGGGGUGGGCUGAGUCUGGGUGCCUGGGAACCCCAAGAGGCUUUAUAGGGGAGGAGUGGAGGAGGGGCCAGCCCAGUGGCACAGGAAUACCAUCAGAACAGAACUGGUCAAACCCGUUGGGAAGGCCUGGGCUGAUGUGUCACCCCUGAAGGUGGCGUCCCUUAUUUUAGUCCUCCAGCCCAGGACCCAGCUGCCUGCUCUCCCUAUCAUGACCCAGAGCCUGCGUCACCCCACCCUGGUUUUCACACCCUCCAUCCACACCCUGGAGCAGUCAAUACCCACUUGGCAUCUCCGUAAUCACAGAGAUGUCCACCUUCAUCCCUUGCAACUAUUGGAAGCCAAAGAAUGGGAGCAAAUCACGCGUUGGGCGUUGGGAAGCACCGUAAUUACAGG